GAUGUCAAGAUGGUCGUUACACACACACCCAAGGACA
This 37-nucleotide transfer RNA is filed under the name Ploceus ocularis (spectacled weaver). RNAcentral describes it as "partial tRNA-Phe". The record is from RNAcentral. RNAcentral also lists the same sequence under 1 other name. Lineage: Eukaryota; Metazoa; Chordata; Aves; Passeriformes; Ploceidae.